This 30-nucleotide non-coding RNA is filed under the name Rattus norvegicus (Norway rat). Lineage: Eukaryota; Metazoa; Chordata; Mammalia; Rodentia; Muridae. The record is from RNAcentral.
UUGGAUUAAGUAUCAGCUAUACUUUUUGAU